Long non-coding RNA from Parambassis ranga (Indian glassy fish), 1408 nucleotides. The record is from Ensembl. NCBI's taxonomy places the organism in Eukaryota, Metazoa, Chordata, Actinopteri, Ambassidae.
CUCUGUCUUCAUUAGAGGAUCUGCUGGCACAGGAAACAGAGGGAAUGUCUGACAGAGGACCAAGCGGAGAGUAUUACCGCCGCGAUGAUGGCCACAGAGACGAUCUCCAAGGAGGCGGUCGCCACAUAGACGAUGGCUACGGAGGGCCUCGCCAACAAGACGAUACCUACAGAGGGAGUCAGCGCACGGACGACAGUAGCUACUGUGCAGUACAGUGCGAGCGUCACGACGACUGCACGAUGAUCGCCAGCCAUAGCAGCUGGUGGUCAUGGUGUACAGUUUUGUAACGUGCCAGCUGUUCUCGCUGACACUGCAGGAUCAUGUUUACUGUAAAAGACGUCACCAAUAAACUAUAAACAACCAAUCAGGCGUCUCCUCUUCUUCUGUCACACCAGCUGACUUCAUGUCCUCCCAGCACAUCUAUGUCUCCUCUUUGACCUCUUGCCUGGCAGCUGUCCCUCCUCUGCACACGUCCAAACCCUUAAACCUGCGUCUCCUCUACCUCCAUCCUCACCUGAGAAAUGACUAACGUCCUCCUUGCUGUUGUUGUAAUGAACGUUCUGAGGUCUUCAUGACACACUGUGAUGAGUCCACGCUCACACUCUGCUGCCAGCCUCUUCUUCUUCUUCUGUCUGACCUCAGGCGACCUGCAGAGACGGACAGAGUCAGUGCUGAUGUCCACACUCAUGUGACUGCACUUUCUUUUGGUGUUUGAUGUUCUUCUGACACAUCUGUGAGAUGAGCAGCAUGGAUGUUUGUGUUGUUUGGGAAUGUUUCACAGUCAACGCCUCUUCCACUGAACAGUGCGGACGUGCCAGAGUAUUUAAAGGAAGAGCAUCAGCAUCAUUCUGACAGAAGGCACAGCUGUGGACUGCUGCUCCGGUCAGUCCUGAUUCAUUAAAGGAUCGUCUGACACUGAGGCCAGCGCCGGCAGCCAUGUUCAGCAACGUUCCAGGCACCCACCCCUCAGGCUACAACCUGGGCCCCCAGCCAGGGGACCAGGGGCCUCAUGGGGGCCCCAAGCCAGAUGGAAAACACGGAGAAGAAGCUCGCCCUGGAGGGGACCGCCGUCGAGAUGGCGACCACCAACGUGAUGACCACAAAGAUGAUCGCCACAGAGACGAUCCCCGCCACGGUGAGGACCACCAAGAUGGCCGCCACGGAGGGGAUCGCCAUGGUGACCACAGCCCUCGUCACCAUCGCCGCAGGAGUGGCGGUGGAAGUCCCGAUCGGGACAACAGCGGAGGGAGUGGAGACAGCGGGAGUGGCAGCGAAGGUGAAGACGACGGCCACCGCAAAAAACAUGGCCACAAACACAAACAUGGCCACCACGGGCACGGCGGGCACGGCGGGCACGGCCAUGGACACGGGCGCGGGCGUGGACGUGGAGGAGGACACUGCUAGGAAG